AAAUUGGUAAGAUCUAUUAGUUCUCUUAAUUGAACUGGUAGGCAGAAUGCAUUGUUCCAAGUGGGCUUAUCGUGGUAAGCAUGUUAAGCAAUGAGGGAUGAACCUAACGCUGAGAUAAGGCGCCAAAAUUCCCGCUCAUCAGAUACCAUAAAAGGUGUUGAUUCAUAUAGACAGCAGGACGGUGGCCAUGGAAGUCGGAAUCCGCUAAGGAGUGUGUAACAACUCACCUGCCGAAUGAAUUAGCCCUGAAAAUGGAUGGCGCUGAAGCGGGAUGCCGAUACUCAGCCAUCAAAGCAAAUGCGAAGCUUUGAUGAGUAAGAGGGCGUGAGCACGGUGCAGAAGCCUUUGGCGUGAGCCUGGGUUGAACUGUGUUUAGUGCAGAUCUUGGUGUUAGUAGCAAAUAUUCAAAUGAGAACUUUGAA
This 422-nucleotide ribosomal RNA is filed under the name uncultured eukaryote. Its description in RNAcentral is "eukaryotic LSU rRNA". It matches the Rfam family "Eukaryotic large subunit ribosomal RNA", at positions 1067 to 1488 of the family's 3401-position model. The record is from RNAcentral.